This 641-nucleotide ribosomal RNA is filed under the name Salmonella enterica subsp. enterica serovar Infantis. Its description in RNAcentral is "partial 23S ribosomal RNA". It matches the Rfam family "Bacterial large subunit ribosomal RNA", at positions 2162 to 2802 of the family's 2925-position model. RNAcentral also lists the same sequence under 2 other names. The record is from RNAcentral. Lineage: Bacteria; Pseudomonadati; Pseudomonadota; Gammaproteobacteria; Enterobacterales; Enterobacteriaceae.
GCGUGGACGCCAGUCUGCGUGGAGCCGACCUUGAAAUACCACCCUUUAAUGUUUGAUGUUCUAACGUGGAUCCGUAAUCCGGGUUGCGGACAGUGUCUGGUGGGUAGUUUGACUGGGGCGGUCUCCUCCUAAAGAGUAACGGAGGAGCACGAAGGUUGGCUAAUCCUGGUCGGACAUCAGGAGGUUAGUGCAAUGGCAUAAGCCAGCUUGACUGCGAGCGUGACGGCGCGAGCAGGUGCGAAAGCAGGUCAUAGUGAUCCGGUGGUUCUGAAUGGAAGGGCCAUCGCUCAACGGAUAAAAGGUACUCCGGGGAUAACAGGCUGAUACCGCCCAAGAGUUCAUAUCGACGGCGGUGUUUGGCACCUCGAUGUCGGCUCAUCACAUCCUGGGGCUGAAGUAGGUCCCAAGGGUAUGGCUGUUCGCCAUUUAAAGUGGUACGCGAGCUGGGUUUAGAACGUCGUGAGACAGUUCGGUCCCUAUCUGCCGUGGGCGCUGGAGAACUGAGGGGGGCUGCUCCUAGUACGAGAGGACCGGAGUGGACGCAUCACUGGUGUUCGGGUUGUCAUGCCAAUGGCACUGCCCGGUAGCUAAAUGCGGAAGAGAUAAGUGCUGAAAGCAUCUAAGCACGAAACUUGCCCCGA